UAUAUAUAACAUAUAUAUAUGUUUUUUUCAUUUUCAGUGUAUGCUGCUUGGAUUUAUUGUAUCAGUGUUGUUUAACAAUAAUAAUGCUUGUUUGUUAUUUGAAGAGCUUUAAUAAAAGUAAAAAAAAAAUAAAAAUCCUUCAACAGUUUGCGCAUGCGCACUCGUUCACGUUCGAAAAAAGCGGAGGGUUACGGAUGGAGAUCAUGAUCAGACUGUCAUCAUUACAGCCACAAGCAACAAACGGAGGAGUUCGGGCUGAACUCUCUUUUAAUUGUCCUCUUUUACUUCGACAGGAUUUUUUGUUUCACAGGGACCUUGUUAGCAUAAAUGCAACUUUAUCACGGAUUGUUCGCUUGACGUCUUUCGAAGUUUUUAAACUUUUCUUGUAUUGGAGUGAGGCCUCGGUGCCAUGCCAGAGAAAUCCCAUAGCACGGCCCAUGACGUCCCAAUGGGUGACGGUAAGACUCGACUCUCAUGGUUAUCAUGAACAU
This 491-nucleotide long non-coding RNA is filed under the name Sinocyclocheilus anshuiensis. RNAcentral's name for it is "lncRNA (ENSSANG00000035752.1)". Lineage: Eukaryota; Metazoa; Chordata; Actinopteri; Cypriniformes; Cyprinidae. The record is from RNAcentral.